GAUGAAGAACGCAGCGAAAUGCGAUAAGUAAUGUGAAUUGCAGAAUUCAGUGAAUCAUCGAAUCUUUGAACGCACAUUGCGCCCGCCAGUAUUCUGGCGGGCAUGCCUGUUCGAGCGUCAUUACAACCCUCAGGCCCCCGGGCCUGGCGUUGGGGAUCGGCGGAAGCCCCCUGCGGGCACAACGCCGUCCCCCAAAUACAGUGGCGGUCCCGCCGCAGCUUCCAUUGCGUAGUAGCUAACACCUCGCAACUGGAGAGCGGCGCGGCCACGCCGUAAAACACCCAACUUCCGAAUGUUGACCUCGAAUCAGGUAGGAAUACCCGCUGAACUUAAGCAUAUCAAUAAGCGGAGGA
Molecule: unclassified non-coding RNA, 353 nt
Filed under: soil metagenome
Description: partial contains 5.8S ribosomal RNA, internal transcribed spacer 2, and large subunit ribosomal RNA
Rfam family: 5.8S ribosomal RNA (bases 1-120)
Source: RNAcentral